UAAGGAAUAUUGGUCAAUGCCCGGAAGGGUGAACCAGCCAUCCCGCGUGAAGGAUGAAGGGGCUCUGCCUUGUAAACUUCUUUUGAAUGGGACGAAAAAGCCUCACUUGUGAGGAACUGACGGUACCAUUAGAAUAAGCACCGGCUAACUCCGUGCCAGCAGCCGCGGUAAUACGGAGGGUGCGAGCGUUAUCCGGAAUCACUGGGUUUAAAGGGUGCGUAGGCGGCUGUAUAAGUCAGUGGUGAAAGGCUGUGGCUUAACCAUGGGAUUGCCAUUGAUACUGUACGGCUUGAAUUAGGAUGAGGUUGGCGGAAUGUGACAUGUAGCGGUGAAAUGCUUAGAUAUGUCAUGGAACAUCGAUUGCGAAGGCAGCUGACUGGACCUUAAUUGACGCUGAGGCACGAAAGCGUGGGGAGCGAACAGGAUUAGAUACCCAAGUAGUCCCUGAGCGGGCUGGCAAGGCGCAU
This 467-nucleotide ribosomal RNA is filed under the name uncultured bacterium. RNAcentral's name for it is "bacterial SSU rRNA". It matches the Rfam family "Bacterial small subunit ribosomal RNA", at positions 355 to 825 of the family's 1533-position model. The record is from RNAcentral.